Ostrea edulis (European flat oyster) is the source of this 1390-nucleotide long non-coding RNA. RefSeq lists it as uncharacterized. The transcript is spliced from 3 exons. NCBI's taxonomy places the organism in Eukaryota, Metazoa, Mollusca, Bivalvia, Ostreida, Ostreidae. The record is from RefSeq and is a predicted model, not a curated record.
UCUUGUGGACAUAAAAUCCCAUCUUUUUUUGUAAAGGGUUUAUUUGUAUCCUUAAUAAAAGGGUUGGCGAAACUCCGGACUUUUGUCGUGUCCGGAGUUAAAUGUCGCACUGUUUUACACCAAAAGGAGUACCAACUUUGUGCUCGGGCAUGUCUAAUAAAGGUGGUUUUCAUUAAAUACAAUGUACAGCAUGCAAAAUUCUUCGUCUGCUCCGCCAUGCUUGUUAUCGCGAGAUCUCGUAGGUGGAUCUAAUGAAAAACCUAAGCAUUGACAAUCAGCGCGAAAAUGUAGUUACUCGAGCCACUUCGACAAAGAAAGGGAAAUCAUAUUGUUGCAGAAAGAAUUUACACUCUGCUGUUUGGUUUUUAACUUGAUAUUAAAUUCAAACCUUUUCAAUACCGACGAAAUAGCUUUCGCCUCCAUACUUUUCCAUUGAUGUAAAUAUUACCUUAUAUGGCAUAUGCAAAUGACUUGACAAUCGGAAGUUUAUACUUCAGUACAUCAAACAUGGCGCACAAAUAUGAAUCGAGAAAUUGGAAUUUAUCGAAAUUGUUGAAAACGGUAGAAUAGAGCCUCACAAAUCUUAAGUUGCAGGUUGUAAAUUUAUAUAUUGACUAAGAAACAUAGAAUAUCAUUUUAUUUACGUAAAGAAAGUCAGGAAAUGUUUAGAAUGAGCGCAAAUGUUGCGGGAGUGAAUCACUCCCGUAUUUGCACCAUUACGGAGAUCCUAAGGAGUUGUAGCCCUCUCCUAAAAAAAAAAAAAAAAUAUUAGAGAGGGCUACAUUAUUGCAGCUACACCAUGCAUAGCUGCGCUAAGUAAACAAAGUUGUUGAUGUAGCGUGAUCGUGAUGUCCGAGUGCUGCGAGUUUCAAUACUGUUUAUGUAGUCAUUGAGAGUUUAAACAAAGUUUCUUCUGAGAAGAGGAAUUCGAUGGAUGUAUUCAACGUGGACAACGAAAUCAUAAUUUCGUUUGCAUCAUCCUAAGGACCAGUGCAAGUUGAAAUGGGCUUCGAGCCAACAACUUCAACAGCAAUUUGCCAUGAAAAUCAGCAAGAAAGGUGCUUCAUUUACAUUGAUGAUGUCAUAUCCCCUAGACCCCACAACUUUACAGGUUACAGAGAAAAUUCAAGAACUUCUGCCAAAAUGUGGGACUUGGAUAGAAUCAAUAAUGUAUAUGUGAGUCCAGAGCAAUGGAUAUAUUGUACAACAUACUAAAGUGUGAAUUUAAUGGAAAACAAGUACAUGUACUCAUGUAUUACAUGUCUUUUUUAAAGACAAUAAUAUUGCAUAAAUAUAGAGGAAGUGUCAUUGUUGAUUAUUCUAAGUUUUGAUAUAUCAAAAUCAGUAAACAUUUGUAAAUGAAAAUAAAAUAACAAUUUUAUAACUUUAA